GCUCCUACCGAUUGAGUGAUCCGGUGAAUUAUUCGGACUGACGCAGUGCUCAGCUUCUGGACGUUACGUUGGAAAGUUUCAUGAACCUUAUCACUUAGAGGAAGGAGAAGUCGUAACAAGGUUUCCGUAGGUGAACCUGCAGAAGGAUCAAGAUCGGA
RNAcentral lists this unclassified non-coding RNA (158 nucleotides) under sea anemone metagenome. Its description in RNAcentral is "partial contains small subunit ribosomal RNA and internal transcribed spacer 1". It matches the Rfam family "Eukaryotic small subunit ribosomal RNA", at positions 1678 to 1831 of the family's 1831-position model. The record is from RNAcentral.